AUACAUAUAUGUACACACACACACACACACACACACACACAGGGUGUGUCAUUUAAAAGAGACCCCGUGGAUACAGAGUACACAUGUUCCACUGGGCCUCUUUUAAAAGACUCACUGUGUGUGUGUAUGUCUGUGUGUGUGUGUGUGUGUGUGUGUGU
RNAcentral lists this microRNA precursor (158 nucleotides) under Podarcis lilfordi (Lilford's wall lizard). The record is from RNAcentral. Lineage: Eukaryota; Metazoa; Chordata; Lepidosauria; Squamata; Lacertidae.